RNAcentral lists this ribosomal RNA (492 nucleotides) under uncultured bacterium. Its description in RNAcentral is "partial 16S ribosomal RNA". It matches the Rfam family "Bacterial small subunit ribosomal RNA", at positions 29 to 507 of the family's 1533-position model. The record is from RNAcentral.
AGUGAACGCUGGCGGUAUGCCUAACACAUGCAAGUCGAACGGCAGCACAGUAAGAGCUUGCUCUUACGGGUGGCGAGUGUCGGACGGGUGAGUAAUACAUCGGAAUCUACUUUUUCGUGGGGGAUAACGUAGGGAAACUUACGCUAAUACCGCAUACGACCUACGGGUGAAAGCAGGGGAUCUUCGGACCUUGCGCGAUUGAAUGAGCCGAUGUCGGAUUAGCUAGUUGGCGGGGUAAAGGCCCACCAAGGCGACGAUCCGUAGCUGGUAUGAGAGGAUGAUAAGACACACUGGAACUGAGACAGGGUCCAGACACCUACGGGAGGCAGCAGUGGGGAAUAUUGGGCAAUGGGGGCAAGCCUGAUCCAGCAAUACCGCGUGGGUGAAGAAGGACUUCGGGUUGUAAAGCCAUUUUGUUGGGAAAGAAAAGAAGCAGGUUAACACGCCGCGGUACUGACGGUACCGAAAGAAUAAGCACCGGCUAACUUCGUG